AUUGAACGCUAGCGGCAUGCUUUACACAUGCAAGUCGAACGAGUGGCGGACGGGUGAGUAAUAUCUGGGAACGUGCCCAGUGGCGGGGGAUAACUACUGGAAACGGUGGCUAAUACCGCAUACUAUUAGAGCGGCCGAUAUCGGAUUAGCUAGUUGGUGGGGUAAAGGCUCACCAAGGCAACGAUCCGUAGCUGGUUUGAGAGGACGACCAGCCACACUGGGACUGAGACACGGCCCAGACUCCUACGGGAGGCAGCAGUGGGGAAUAUUGCACAAUGGGGGAAACCCUGAUGCAGCCAUCCCGCGUGUAUGAGAAGGCCUUCGGGUUGUAAAGUACUUUCGGCAGAGAAGCGGUAUCCGCAGAAUAAGCACCGGCUAACUACGUGCCAGCAGCCGCGGUAAUAC
Molecule: ribosomal RNA, 405 nt
Filed under: uncultured bacterium
Lineage: Bacteria
Description: partial 16S ribosomal RNA
Rfam family: Bacterial small subunit ribosomal RNA
Source: RNAcentral